Molecule: ribosomal RNA, 259 nt
Filed under: uncultured bacterium
Lineage: Bacteria
Description: partial 16S ribosomal RNA
Rfam family: Bacterial small subunit ribosomal RNA
Source: RNAcentral
UACGUAGGGUGCAAGCGUUUAAUCGGAAUUACUGGGCGUAAAGCGUGCGCAGGCGGUUUUUGUAAGUCUGUCGUGAAAUCCCCCGGGCUCAACCUGGGAAUUGCGAUGGAGACUGCAAGGCUAGAAUCUGGCAGAGGGGGGGUAGAAUUCCACGUGUAGCAGUGAAAUGCGUAGAGAUGUGGAGGAACACCGAUGGCGAAGGCAGCUGGCUACACAAAUAUUGACACUGAGGCACGAAAAGCGUGGGGGAGCAAACAGG